GGAUAAUCCCGGGUGACCGGGGAAAAGCCGCGACAGGCUGGUUGGCGCGACUCCUCUGAAACCAGAUCGCAAGAUUUGGGGAGGCAUAAUUCACCGGUUCCACUGGCGCGUUCGCGCGUGCCAGUAUCGCGAAAAAAGGAACCGUGCGGCGAGGGACGAUUAGAAACCGUUCCGAGUUGAGUCAAGUAGUUCAGGCAGGUUUCGAGCCUGGGCGAAUCGCAGUUGCCAAAAGGUAUUGGUUGCUACUGCGCAUCAGCACGGAUGGACGACUCUGGCGGGUUUCAAAAAUAAUAAGUUGAGCCUGCCAAAAGAAAAACGCCGAAAGGCGGAACAAAACGAGAGUCCGGACCGGGAAGGCCACGCAGGCUGGGCAGGCCGCGUGAAAAACUUCCGGGCGUCGGCGAUGUUAAAAACGACACCGCCGGGCUGUGAAAGAAAAGCAACUUGAGAGUGAAGAGGCGAGACCCGUGGCGUCGGGCGAACGCGCUGUCAAAAACGGCGGCUGACCCGGUGCUAUUGUGGAGACGCGAAAGAAAUUACAGGCGUGUCUCAACCUGGUUCGCAGGCCGGUGGCGCAACCACCAGUUGAAGCGAGCUGAAAAGCCUCACUCGAAAUUCAGCGACCGCAAGGCGCUGGACGGCCCUGCUACGAGGCCGAAAACUCCGCUUGCCGUGGAGAAUGGCGUCGGGAAGCCAGCAGCCCCCGCGAGGGUGCGCGCCUAAUGUUGGCUUGGGAAAGAGAGCAUGGCGAACUCC
Molecule: non-coding RNA, 756 nt
Filed under: unclassified sequences
Description: MISL RNA
Rfam family: MISL RNA
Source: Rfam by way of RNAcentral